UACCACGUUGAAACAUUGGUUCUCAUACAAUCACUGAAGUUAAGCAAUGUAGUGCCUGGUCAGUACCUAGAUGGGUGACCACUUGAGCAUACCAGCUGCUGUU
This 103-nucleotide ribosomal RNA is filed under the name Acanthosepion pharaonis. Lineage: Eukaryota; Metazoa; Mollusca; Cephalopoda; Sepiida; Sepiidae. The record is from RNAcentral.